RNAcentral lists this ribosomal RNA (448 nucleotides) under uncultured bacterium. RNAcentral describes it as "bacterial SSU rRNA". It matches the Rfam family "Bacterial small subunit ribosomal RNA", at positions 329 to 792 of the family's 1533-position model. The record is from RNAcentral.
AGCCAGACUCCUACGGGAGGCAGCAGUGGGGAAUAUUGGGCAAUGGGCGAAAGCCUGACCCAGCAACGCCGCGUGAAGGAAGAAGGCUUUCGGGUUGUAAACUUCUUUUGACAGGGAAGAGCAGAAGACGGUACCUGUCGAAUAAGCCACGGCUAACUACGUGCCAGCAGCCGCGGUAAUACGUAGGGGGCAAGCGUUGUCCGGAAUUACUGGGCGUAAAGGGCGCGUAGGUGGGCGCUUAAGUCAGGUGUGAAAACUCCGGGCUCAACCUGGAGACUGCACUUGAAACUGGGUGUCUUGAGGGCAGGAGAGGAAAGUGGAAUUCCUAGUGUAGCGGUGAAAUGCGUAGAUAUUAGGAGGAACACCAGUGGCGAAGGCGACUUUCUGGACUGAAACUGACGCUGAGGCACGAAAGCGUGGGGAGCGAACAGGAUUAGAUACCCGCGUA